GGCCUCUGAAGGGAAGGACCAGGCCUGUCUUUGGCUUUCGUUUCAGCAGACGGAGAGAGAUAAACUCUACACUCCAUUAUCAAGGGCAUUUACCCCCAUCACCAUCCACACCAAUUCCACUUGGUUGGAUCAUGRGUCCUCUGCUUCCACUUUCCAUGCCAAGUGACCUGUGUGUUUACACCACUGCUUGUUUACUUACACCACCUUUUCUGAGCAGAAGUUGUACCAUUUGGACUUCUCAGAAAGCAUUUUAGCAAGAGAAACACCAUGCUGGACAUUUGACCAACAGCACGAGAGAUUGUAUUUUAGAAGUAACAUUACAGUUACUUCUGUGAGGCCUUUGAUCAAAGGAUUUCUGAGCCUUAACAGUUACCAGUCUAAACAAAGUUAAUAAAA
Molecule: long non-coding RNA, 396 nt
Organism: Malurus melanocephalus (red-backed fairy wren)
Lineage: Eukaryota; Metazoa; Chordata; Aves; Passeriformes; Maluridae
Exons: 3
Source: RefSeq, a predicted model, not a curated record